RNAcentral lists this ribosomal RNA (468 nucleotides) under uncultured bacterium. Its description in RNAcentral is "partial 16S ribosomal RNA". It matches the Rfam family "Bacterial small subunit ribosomal RNA", at positions 28 to 507 of the family's 1533-position model. The record is from RNAcentral.
GACGAACGCUGGCGGCGUGCUUAACACAUGCAAGUCGAACGGAAAGGCCCUGCUUUUGUGGGGUGCUCGAGUGGCGAACGGGUGAGUAACACGUGAGUAACCUGCCCUUGACUUUGGGAUAACUUCAGGAAACUGGGGCUAAUACCGGAUAGGAGCUCCUGCUGCAUGGUGGGGGUUGGAAAGUUUCGGCGGUUGGGGAUGGACUCGCGGCUUAUCAGCUUGUUGGUGGGGUAGUGGCUUACCAAGGCUUUGACGGGUAGCCGGCCUGAGAGGGUGACCGGCCACAUUGGGACUGAGAUACGGCCCAGACUCCUACGGGAGGCAGCAGUGGGGAAUAUUGCACAAUGGGCGGAAGCCUGAUGCAGCAACGCCGCGUGCGGGAUAACGGCCUUCGGGUUGUAAACCGCUUUCGCCUGCGACGAAGCGUGAGUGACGGUAAUGGGUAAAGAAGCACCGGCUAACUACGUG